GGUUAAGCGACUAAGCGUACACGGUGGAUGCCCUGGCAGUCAGAGGCGAUGAAGGACGUGCUAAUCUGCGAAAAGCGUCGGUAAGGUGAUAUGAACCGUUAUAACCGGCGAUGUCCGAAUGGGGAAACCCAGUGUGAUUCGUCACACUAUCGUUAACUGAAUACAUAGGUUAACGAGGCGAACCGGGGGAACUGAAACAUCUAAGUACCCCGAGGAAAAGAAAUCAACCGAGAUUCCCCCAGUAGCGGCGAGCGAACGGGGAGCAGCCCAGAGUCUGAAUCAGCUUGUGUGUUAGUGGAACGGUCUGGAAAGUCCGACGGUACAGGGUGAUAGUCCCGUACACCAAAAUGCACAGGUUGUGAACUCGAAGAGUAGGGCGGGACACGUGGUAUCCUGUCUGAAUAUGGGGGGACCAUCCUCCAAGGCUAAAUACUCCUGACUGACCGAUAGUGAACCAGUACCGUGAGGGAAAGGCGAAAAGAACCCCGGCGAGGGGAGUGAAAAAGAACCUGAAACCGUGUACGUACAAGCAGUGGGAGCACCUUCGGGUGUGACUGCGUACCUUUUGUAUAAUGGGUCAGCGACUUAUAUUCUGUAGCAAGGUUAACCGUAUAGGGGAGCCGCAGGGAAACCGAGUCUUAACUGGGCGUUAAGUUGCAGGGUAUAGACCCGAAACCCGGUGAUCUAGCCAUGGGCAGGUUGAAGGUUGGGUAACACUAACUGGAGGACCGAACCGACUAAUGUUGAAAAAUUAGCGGAUGACUUGUGGCUGGGGGUGAAAGGCCAAUCAAACCGGGAGAUAGCUGGUUCUCCCCGAAAGCUAUUUAGGUAGCGCCUCGUGAACUCAUCUUCGGGGGUAGAGCACUGUUUCGGCUAGGGGGUCAUCCCGACUUACCAACCCGAUGCAAACUACGAAUACCGAAGAAUGUUAUCACGGGAGACACACGGCGGGUGCUAACGUCCGUCGUGAAGAGGGAAACAACCCAGACCGCCAGCUAAGGUCCCAAAGUCAUGGUUAAGUGGGAAACGAUGUGGGAAGGCACAGACAGCCAGGAUGUUGGCUUAGAAGCAGCCAUCAUUUAAAGAAAGCGUAAUAGCUCACUGGUCGAGUCGGCCUGCGCGGAAGAUGUAACGGGGCUAAACCAUGCACCGAAGCUGCGGCAGCGACACUAUGUGUUGUUGGGUAGGGGAGCGUUCUGUAAGCCUGCGAAGGUGACCUGUGAGGGUUGCUGGAGGUAUCAGAAGUGCGAAUGCUGACAUAAGUAACGAUAAAGCGGGUGAAAAGCCCGCUCGCCGGAAGACCAAGGGUUCCUGUCCAACGUUAAUCGGGGCAGGGUGAGUCGACCCCUAAGGCGAGGCCGAAAGGCGUAGUCGAUGGGAAACAGGUUAAUAUUCCUGUACUUGGUGUUACUGCGAAGGGGGGACGGAGAAGGCUAUGUUAGCCGGGCGACGGUUGUCCCGGUUUAAGCAUGUAGGCUGAUUGUCCAGGCAAAUCCGGAUAAUCAAGGCUGAGGUGUGAUGACGAGGCACUACGGUGCUGAAGUAACAAAUGCCCUGCUUCCAGGAAAAGCCUCUAAGCAUCAGGUAACAUCAAAUCGUACCCCAAACCGACACAGGUGGUCAGGUAGAGAAUACCAAGGCGCUUGAGAGAACUCGGGUGAAGGAACUAGGCAAAAUGGUGCCGUAACUUCGGGAGAAGGCACGCUGGUGUGUAGGUGAAGUCCCUGCGGAUGGAGCUGAGACCAGUCGAAGAUACCAGCUGGCUGCAACUGUUUAUUAAAAACACAGCACUGUGCAAACACGAAAGUGGACGUAUACGGUGUGACGCCUGCCCGGUGCCGGAAGGUUAAUUGAUGGGGUUAUCCGUAAGGAGAAGCUCUUGAUCGAAGCCCCGGUAAACGGCGGCCGUAACUAUAACGGUCCUAAGGUAGCGAAAUUCCUUGUCGGGUAAGUUCCGACCUGCACGAAUGGCGUAAUGAUGGCCAGGCUGUCUCCACCCGAGACUCAGUGAAAUUGAACUCGCUGUGAAGAUGCAGUGUACCCGCGGCAAGACGGAAAGACCCCGUGAACCUUUACUAUAGCUUGACACUGAACAUUGAGCCUUGAUGUGUAGGAUAGGUGGGAGGCUUUGAAGCGUGGACGCCAGUCUGCGUGGAGCCAACCUUGAAAUACCACCCUUUAAUGUUUGAUGUUCUAACGUUGGCCCCUUACCGGGGUUGCGGACAGUGUCUGGUGGGUAGUUUGACUGGGGCGGUCUCCUCCCAAAGCGUAACGGAGGAGCACGAAGGUUAGCUAAUCCUGGUCGGACAUCAGGAGGUUAGUGCAAUGGCAUAAGCUAGCUUGACUGCGAGCGUGACGGCGCGAGCAGGUGCGAAAGCAGGUCAUAGUGAUCCGGUGGUUCUGAAUGGAAGGGCCAUCGCUCAACGGAUAAAAGGUACUCCGGGGAUAACAGGCUGAUACCGCCCAAGAGUUCAUAUCGACGGCGGUGUUUGGCACCUCGAUGUCGGCUCAUCACAUCCUGGGGCUGAAGUAGGUCCCAAGGGUAUGGCUGUUCGCCAUUUAAAGUGGUACGCGAGCUGGGUUUAGAACGUCGUGAGACAGUUCGGUCCCUAUCUGCCGUGGGCGCUGGAGAAUUGAGGGGGGCUGCUCCUAGUACGAGAGGACCGGAGUGGACGCAUCACUGGUGUUCGGGUUGUCAUGCCAAUGGCACUGCCCGGUAGCUAAAUGCGGAAGAGAUAAGUGCUGAAAGCAUCUAAGCACGAAACUUGCCCCGAGAUGAGUUCUCCCUGAGACUUUAAGUCUCCUGAAGGAACGUUGAAGACGACGACGUUGAUAGGCCGGGUGUGUAAGCGCAGCGAUGCGUUGAGCUAACCGGUACUAAUGAACCGUGAGGCUUAACCUU
Molecule: ribosomal RNA, 2902 nt
Filed under: Klebsiella pneumoniae
Lineage: Bacteria; Pseudomonadati; Pseudomonadota; Gammaproteobacteria; Enterobacterales; Enterobacteriaceae
Also listed under: 1 other name
Description: 23S ribosomal RNA
Rfam family: Bacterial large subunit ribosomal RNA
Source: RNAcentral